Molecule: small nuclear RNA, 141 nt
Organism: Carlito syrichta (Philippine tarsier)
Lineage: Eukaryota; Metazoa; Chordata; Mammalia; Primates; Tarsiidae
Gene: U4
Rfam family: U4 spliceosomal RNA
About the family: U4 small nuclear RNA (U4 snRNA) is a component of the major U2-dependent spliceosome. The structure of U4 snRNA from yeast and human has been reported.
Source: Ensembl
AUCCAGAUUGGUAGGAGCUUUGUAAGCCAAUGAUGUUAAUCCGAGGUGAGAUUAUUGCUAAUUGAAAACUUUUCCCAAUAUCCCGCGAUGACGACUUGAAACAUAAUCGGCAUUGGCAAUUUUUGACAGUCUCUACAGAGA